CUGGCGGCGUGCCUAAUACAUGCAAGUCGAGCGAAUGAAGAGGAGCUUGCUCCUCUGAUUUAGCGGCGGACGGGUGAGUAACACGUGGGUAAUCUGCCUGUAAGACGGGGAUAACUCCGGGAAACCGGGGCUAAUACCGGAUAAUAAGAAGAAACGCAUGUUUCUUUUUUGAAAGUCGGUUUCGGCUGACACUUACAGAUGAGCCCGCGGCGCAUUAGCUAGUUGGUGAGGUAACGGCUCACCAAGGCGACGAUGCGUAGCCGACCUGAGAGGGUGAUCGGCCACACUGGGACUGAGACACGGCCCAGACUCCUACGGGAGGCAGCAGUAGGGAAUCUUCGGCAAUGGGCGAAAGCCUGACCGAGCAACGCCGCGUGAGCGAUGAAGGCCUUCGGGUCGUAAAGCUCUGUUGUUAGAGAAGAACAAGUACGAGAGUAACUGCUCGUACCUUGACGGUACCUAACCAGAAAGCCACGGCUAACUACGUGCCAGCAGCC
RNAcentral lists this ribosomal RNA (497 nucleotides) under marine sediment bacterium ISA-7092. Its description in RNAcentral is "bacterial SSU rRNA". It matches the Rfam family "Bacterial small subunit ribosomal RNA", at positions 36 to 516 of the family's 1533-position model. The record is from RNAcentral.